CCUACGGGCGACAGCAGUGGGGGAUAUUGCACAAUGGGGGAAACCCUGAUGCAGCGACGCCGCGUGUGGGAAGACGGUCUUCUGGAUUGUACACCACUGUCCCCAGGGACGAAAAUGACGGUACCUGGGGAGGAAGCUCCGGCUAACUACGUGCCAGCAGCCGCGGUAAUACGUAGGGAGCAAGCGUUGUCCGGAAUUACUGGGUGUAAAGGGAGCGUAGGCGGGGAUGCAAGUUGGGUGUCAAAACUACCGGCUCAACCGAUAGUCGCACUCAAAACUGCAGCUCUUGAGUGAAGUAGAGGCAGGCGGAAUUCCUAGUGUAGCGGUGAAAUGCGUAGAUAUUAGGAGGAACACCAGUGGCGAAGGCGGCCUGCUGGGCUUUUACUGACGCUGAGGCUCGAAAGUGUGGGGAGCAAACAGGAUUAGAUACCCUUGUAGUC
This 440-nucleotide ribosomal RNA is filed under the name uncultured bacterium. Its description in RNAcentral is "partial 16S ribosomal RNA". It matches the Rfam family "Bacterial small subunit ribosomal RNA", at positions 338 to 795 of the family's 1533-position model. The record is from RNAcentral.